GAAAUGCGAUAAGUAAUGUGAAUUGCAGAAUUCAGUGAAUCAUCGAAUCUUUGAACGCACAUUGCGCCCGCCAGCAUUCUGGCGGGCAUGCCUGUUCGAGCGUCAUUUCAACCCUCGAGCCCGACUCUUUUGAGGACGGCUCGGCGUUGGGGGACGGCAGACUCCCCCCGGCAUCUCGCCGGGGACGCCGCCCCCGAAAUCUAGUGGCGGCCCUCCGAGGCGACCUCUGCGUAGUAACUUGUUCCCGCACCGGAAAGCUCAGAGCGGCCACGCCGUAAAACCCCAACUUUUUUCAGGUUGACCUCGAAUCAGGUAGGACUACCCGCUGAACUUAAGC
RNAcentral lists this unclassified non-coding RNA (337 nucleotides) under plant metagenome. Its description in RNAcentral is "partial contains 5.8S ribosomal RNA, internal transcribed spacer 2, and large subunit ribosomal RNA". The stretch from base 1 to 105 matches the Rfam family "5.8S ribosomal RNA", at positions 50 to 154 of the family's 154-position model. The record is from RNAcentral.